AUCUAGGGCCACAGCACGCUGAAGAUGCCCGAUCUUGUUUGAUUUCAGAAGCUAAGCAGGGUUGGGCCCGGUUAGUACUUGGAUGGGAGACCAACUGGGAAUGCCGGGUGCCGUAGGCU
RNAcentral lists this ribosomal RNA (119 nucleotides) under Prolemur simus (greater bamboo lemur). Lineage: Eukaryota; Metazoa; Chordata; Mammalia; Primates; Lemuridae. The record is from RNAcentral.